AAAGGCUUGGUCCUGACUUUACCAUCAGCUUUAACCCUAUUUAUACAUGCAAGUAUCCGCACCCCUGUGAGAAUGCCCUCAAUCCCCUGCCCGGGGACAAGGAGCAGGCAUCAGGCACAUAAGACUAGCCCAAAACGCCUUGCUACGCCACACCCCCAAAGGGAACUCAGCAGUAAUAAACAUUAAGCAAUAAGUGAAAACUUGACUUAGCCAAGGUUAUACAGGGUCGGUAAAAUUCGUGCCAGCCACCGCGGUUAUACGAAAGACCCUAGUUGAUGGCCACGGCGUAAAGGGUGGUUAAAGGAAUACAAUAAAUAAAGCUAAAGACCCUCUAAGCUGUCAUACGCAUCACGAGGAUACGAAACCCCAACACGAAAGUAGCUUUAAACAAAUUUAACCUGACCCCACGAAAGCUAAGAAACAAACUGGGAUUAGAUACCCCACUAUGCUUAGCCAUAAACCCAGAUGUACAUUUACAUAAACAUCCGCCAGGGUACUACGAGCGCAGCUUAAAACCCAAAGGACUUGGCGGUGUCUCAGACCCACCUAGAGGAGCCUGUUCUAGAACCGAUAACCCCCGUUAAACCUCACCAUUCCUUGUUUCUCCCGCCUAUAUACCGCCGUCGUCAGCUUACCCUGUGAAGGCCCAACAGUAAGCAAAAUGGGAUUACCCCAAAACGUCAGGUCGAGGUGUAGCGCACGGAAUGGAAAGAAAUGGGCUACAUUUUCUACACAUAGAAUAUUACGAACGACAUUCUGAAAACAUGUCUGAAGGUGGAUUUAGUAGUAAAAAACAAGUAGAGAGUCUUUUUGAAUUAGGCUCUGAGACGCGCACACACCGCCCGUCACUCUCCCCUUACACCCAUCCAAACAAUCCAUAAUAAAAUAUUAAUUAAUACGGGGAGGCAAGUCGUAACAUGGUAAGUGUACCGGAAGGUGCCCUUGGAACAAU
Molecule: non-coding RNA, 952 nt
Filed under: Rita rita
Lineage: Eukaryota; Metazoa; Chordata; Actinopteri; Siluriformes; Bagridae
Description: 12S ribosomal RNA
Rfam family: Bacterial small subunit ribosomal RNA
Source: RNAcentral